UACAGAGGGGGCAAGCGUUGUUCGGAAUUACUGGGCGUAAAGGGCGCGUAGGCGGCCACCUAAGUCAGACGUGAAAUCCCUCGGCUCAACCUGGGAACUGCAUCCGAUACUGGAUGGCUUGAAUUCGGGAGAGGGAUGCAGAAUUCCAGGUGUAGCGGUGAAAUGCGUAGAUAUCUGGAGGAAUACCGGUGGCGAAGGCGGCAUCCUGGACCGACAUUGACGCUGAGGAGCGAAAGCCAGGGGAGCAAACGGG
RNAcentral lists this ribosomal RNA (253 nucleotides) under uncultured bacterium. Its description in RNAcentral is "partial 16S ribosomal RNA". It matches the Rfam family "Bacterial small subunit ribosomal RNA", at positions 524 to 776 of the family's 1533-position model. The record is from RNAcentral.